Molecule: long non-coding RNA, 7635 nt
Organism: Trichechus manatus latirostris (Florida manatee)
Lineage: Eukaryota; Metazoa; Chordata; Mammalia; Sirenia; Trichechidae
Exons: 4
Source: RefSeq, a predicted model, not a curated record
UUGGGCUGCAAAGGCAGGACAGAGAUCUGGAGGCUAGAAGGUGCCUAGAGAGAGAUUUCAGCUCAGUUACUUUCCAACUGUGAGUUCUUCAGAGAUGGGAUGGGCGUUAUUGAAUCAAAUAGAAGCUAGACAGUGGUUUGGUCUGGUGUUUAUGGAGGGGCUUCUGCCUUGGAUGAAGACCCCUGGUGGCACAGUGACUGGUUAAAUGCUUGGCUGCGAACCUAAAGGCUGGCAAUUCAGACUCACCUAGUGGCUCCGUGGGAAUACUCCCAUUUUUCAUAGCCAAUGUGUUAUAUUUUGAACAUUCUAUGACAAAACAUUGUAGAAGCUCGACAGGUAUGUUUUGCUUUUUAAAGAUUUUGACAAUGUUUAAAAUUCAGAAGUUUAACAUAAUAAAUCUAGAUUUCCAGCUUCUUCUGUAAAACUGAUAAUCUGGGCUCUUUGGGUCUUCAUUCCCAUAUAGCCCCAAGUUUAUAGAGCUGAGGAGGGGCUGACCCCAUCAGGAGUGGCCUAUUCCUUCCACUUGGCACACUCCGUCCCCAGCCUGCUUCGCUCCUAUCUUACCUGCCCGACCCCUAAAGGCAUUUGAGUUUGUGACUUCCCGAAGUGGAUAAAAUAGGCUUUUGUGGGCUAGCCUGGGAACUCAACCAGUAUGCUUAAUAUUAUUUCAAUGGGAAAAUGUGUUCCAACUUUUAAAGAGUGGAUUUUUGAAACAUCAGUCUUUGCAAAUGUGGGAAUGCUUAUAGGGUUCUCGACUAGAAUGUGUGUGCCUUGGGGUGAUGGCCUGUGUGUACUACUUCUCCUGUGCUGUACUGGCUUAGCACUUACUGUUAUUAGAUGCUGUGGAGUUGGCUUCGACUCAUGGCAACCUUACGUAUAGCAGAACGAAACGUUACCUGGUCCUGCACCAUCUUUAUGAUCGUUGGUAUGUUUGAGUCCAUCGUUGUGACUGUUGUGUCAGUCCAUCUCAUUGAGCAUUUCCCUCAUUUUCACUGACCCUCUGUUUACCAAAUACAAUGUUCUUUUCUAACGAUUGCUCUUCCUGAUGAUGUGUCCAAAGUAAGUGAAUCGAAGUCUUGUGAUCGUCUCUUCUAAGGAGCAUUCAGAUUUUGUUUCUUCUAAGACUGAUUUGUUCAUUUUUUGGGCAGUCUAUGCUUAGCACUUAGUAGGCACUUAAUAAAUGAUUUACCUCAUGGAGUCAUUAAGGCCUGUUGUCUGCCUUCCUCUCAGGCAGCAAACAGAAACGCCUUCUCACUGUGGGCCUGGACCUGUUAGUUCUGCUUGAGACCGGAUUGCUGCCUGAUUUACCUAGAUCUCCCACUUUCAGCUGGUAGAUACCCAUACGAAAUUUUAGGGUCAGUCCCCUCUACAUCUCCGCUGUCUUGAGAGAAGCUGUUUCUUUACCUGAUUAAAGAUCCUGUCAGUGUAGAGUCAGCCCUAACGAGGAAAUGAGGCCUGUGCUCAGCUGGCCUUUCUAGGUGAUGACCGCCAAACUAGAGUUUGUGGCAGUUACAGAGUGCUUUUUUUCCAGACCCUGGACAAAUGUUGGGUAAAAGUUCAGCUCAUUCCCUUUAAAGAAAAAAAUUUUUUUUCUUUGGAAUUUCAAAAGUUUUGACCCAGAUCAGUCAGAGGCCAUUGAGAGCUUGCGAUGUCUGGAGAGUUUGUUUCGUUCCUGAGGCCUGUAGCUGCAGAGAAGCUGAGGAGAUCCAGUGACCUCCUGGGCCGGAGCUGAAGCUCAACCUUUUCAAGUUUGCCCCGCCCUGGCCUCCCCAGUCCUCCGAGAGUGGAUGGAAGGAGCCAGCACCUUCAACUCACUCAGAAGUUAUCUUUACCCCCUGAAAUCAAACACUGCGCACAGCACCCUGUAAAACUGCUUCCUCGUAGGCUUGAGCUUGCUAAGUAAACAUCCUCCCAUGUUUUUGGAACUGAGUUCAUUUCUGCUUCCUGGUCAUCCCGUUUGGGUUUUUCUAUGCUCAGCGCCACACAGAAUCAGAUUGAUAGAAAGAAGGCCUAGAAUUGGGCAGAGGCACCAAAGAGGACUGUUUUAAUCUUCGUAAAAUUGUGAGAAGAGGAAGGGGGUUUUGGGAAGAAAAAGAUACAGGUGAAAAGUGAAACAGAACAGAGCUUUCCUAAACAUAGGGUCAUCAUCGUGCUUUGAAAGUCAGAGUAGACCCCAUCGGAACCUGAGACGGGACUUUUCUUUGCGUGGACCAAGCUCAGUUUUGCUCUGGUUGUAUACCACAGUUGGCCUCUCUGUGCAAAUUCUGUGGCUGUAUAUGUCCCUCCUCUGACCCUGCCCUGCUCACUCUCCGUCUCUCAUGACUUAUUUGCUUCUUCUCUCUCACUUCCACCCACCCGUGACAUCUCCAUCGCCAUGGCAGUGAGCAGCCACGUCAUUCACCAAGUUCACGGGGUGAUGGGCCAACUCGGUGCUGAGCCCUACUUCCUCUAGUUCCCCCUCCUGAAGCAGGAGGCUCCCGGGCAGAGCUCAGAGCCCUUUGUUUAUUUGAUCCUGGGCUCUUGGAUAAAUCAGGAAUGUCCUGACAUGAACUUAGGCAUGUUUUUCUUCCAUGGCGAAGAAAACUACGGCAAAUGGGAUUUAAGUAGGCAGAGGACCAUUCCAGGGCACUUGCUUUAGUGCCAUCAAGGCCACAUUCCUUUGGUUAUCAGACCAGUAGGUGACUUCUUUAUCGGCAUGCUCUACCCUGGAGCCCAGAAGGUGUGAAUUUGAAGCAUUUCCCCCACUGCUGGGAGCCUGGCACAGUCGCUCUGAGCUUCUUUUAAGACUCUGGUGCCAUGGUUGUCUUUCAAAUGGUCCUUGUUUCUGUUGGGUGAAACCUUGUGCCCCAGCAUCGUUGCUUGAAGAAGUAGUUGCUUGGGAAGUGGGGUCUAGGAUAAGGUGGCUGUCUGGCGUGUUUUUCUUAAGCCAUCUUCCUGUAAGUUGUAAGGUUCUUGAUAUGAUAUACUUUUUGAGGAAACUGCCCCAGUACCUGAAUAUUUCCCUCACUUCUCGUCAUGCCUCAAGGCACAUAUGGUACAGCUGGUUGUUGGAAACCUUUGCCAGUCUGCAUUCUGUUGAUGUAGCAGUGUGUGGGAACCCUAGACUCCCUGAGUCCCUCUGGAUGUACUGUCCAGUGGAUUAAUAUCUGAGCUGUUCUUGGAGACCUUUUUGGGUCUGCGGACAGGAAAGCAUUGGGACCUAUGUGCUUGGCUGCUUGCUGCAGUGGAGACUUGUCAGUAUCCAAAAAGAACCUCAGUCAGUCUCCAGAGCAUUAAUAGGACCUCUGCCUCCCCUGGUGAGGCUCAUCUCGCUUGGCUGCCCACCUGGGAGAGGAGGACCCAGGUGUUGGCGACUUCAGGUCCAGGCUUAGCUGUUUCUGUUUUGCUGCCUUUCAUGUCGUCAGGAGGAUCUUCUUGGGAACAAAUGACUCAGCAACCUGAACCUCUGGGACCGUGUGGCCUCAGUGCCUUUUGAGAAGCAAUUGAAGUAUCUGCCUAGGCCCUAAAACUCGGAGCCCGGGAAGAAUGGAAAUUCACACGGGUGUUGUGCUGGCUUCUUCAGCCUACUGUUCAAUUUGGUUUCUCAAAUUCCUGACCUGAUAGAAGGAUCUCACUCAUGGGGUAAGCAGGCAAUGUUUUAAUUAUGCUUUUUGUCCUUAGGAAAUUCCAGGGAGAAAAAGGCCCUGGUUUGUGGCCAAAAAGCAAAAACCAGAACAAAACAAAAUCAGCUAUGGUUGUUAUUCUGGACUUGUCUGUGGCAGAAAGAGUUAAUGGGGUGGUGGUCUCAGGGUGAGGACUGUUUGUUUCCUCAUGGCUGAGAGAAGCUCACAUGGUUCUAGAAAAGAUGAUGCAACGUUUAGCAUGGGACAGCCGUGGCUGGACUCUGGGGGCUGUCACUCAAAGAGUUAAGCUGUUCUUGUGGCUAGGAAGUCCUCAGGGAAGGAGCAAGCCUGCAGGGACCUGGACCUCUAUGCCCCAGAACAGUGAGGUGUGGGGUGAAAAACGGACUGGCUGGAAAGUGUGGCCAGGGAAGCAGAGUGUAGGCCCAACUUUUUUUUGCCUUGUUUGACCAGCCUUGGCACUGCCCUCCGGCUCUCCAGGGGAAAAGCUGCAGUUCUGCUCUUGCAACACAAGGAGCAGACUGGAGAAUUUAGAUCUGCGUCACAGAGCUCAGAGAGAGAGAGAGCGCGAGAGCUCCAUCGAUAGGUCUGCUAGCAACAGCCGUGCUGCAGCAGAGAGAGAGAGAGAAAUCAAGAAACAAGUCAUAGCAACACCGGGCACCAGGUCUGCCAGCUCACUUGCCAAGCUUCCGGAAACCUGCUGGGGGCCGGAGGCCUCUGGGUAGCCUAGGCUAAGGAGAUGACAUGCAAGGUGGCACGGGCGGCUCCCGCGGGGAGGACGCGAGGUGGUGGUGGGGGGCAGGGGUGGUAUCAAGAUGUUGUAGGGUGACGGUGGAAGGUUUAACGGGACAAAAUUCUGGAACCUUCGGGACUGUGGCACCUUGCGGGCCAGACAGAGAUUUGGGUCUGCGCAGGCGACGGUGGGUGGUCCGACGGGCUCCCGGACUUGACGGUGUAACCCCCAUCUUCCCCCACGUACGUAUUUGCUGGGACCAGGGGCGAUGUCUCUGCGUGUGGGGGCUCUUUCUUUCUCACCUCUUUUCUCGCUUUCUGCUAUUUUUUCUCUGGGGGAGAAUUUUUCUUUCCCACUUUAAUUUCUUUUCCCUUAGUGUCAGCUGCUCAAGCCUGACCAAGGUGGAGGAGAGAGAAGUGAACUGUCUCCUGCCUCCCACUUGACCUCCCAGCCUUUACCCCGUUUCCCUCUAGUGAACAGAUAGAUGGACAGACUGGUUUGCCAGGUUGUUUGGGUGUCGAUGUCUGUCUGUCCACGCAGUUCUUAGGUAGAAGGUAGGGAGCGAGGAGGGAAGGCAAGAGGAACAGUUUUCCAGGGGUUACCUUCUUGAAAUGCUUGUCCCUGGGAAUAAGAGUCUGGUGGGAGCAAUGUGGUGGGUAGGAUGGGGCGUGGGCUGGGAGAAGUGGGGUGAAGCUGGUGGGUUUGUCACUGCGUAGUUGGGCAAAGUGGUGAGUGGUGACGCAGUCACUGUUGCAUCUCGUUAGGAGCUCUAGAGGGGCAGGUAGUGAGGCUCUCUGGGUCUGAGGGCCAGCUGAGAGGGGUUAAGGAUGAGCUGAGAAAGGAAGCUAGCAUUUAGAGAUUAAAUGUCAUCCUUUUGGCGUUGGAAAGUUGUUUACCUUGCGCUCUCUGUGUCUCCAUGUUGGCACCCUUCCAGUUCACAUGUGAUGGCCUUCCCUGUACUGCUGCAUCAUUAACUAAGUGACUGAGCUGGCCUUCCAUUGGCCAGGGGAGGGCUCUCACUACAGACACUCUUCUGAUUGGUGGGUAGCCCGAUGGCAGGUGAAAACAUUUUUUUGAUUGGCCAAGGGCAGGGUAUCAAAUCUGAAUUUGCAUUUCACUUGCUUAAAGGGGAGGGGAGAGAAGCCCAGCAGCUUUCUAAAAUCUCUUUAGGGGUGUGCGUAUGCUUGUGUGUCUGUGCCGGCUUCUGACUGACCAUUGAAGCCUCUUCCUGUGCCUUUUUUAUUUCAUGCACUAUAAGGAAGAGGAGCUCAGGGCUCCACGAACUUUUUUAUGGGAGUGUAGAGGGUUUGGGGAGGUGGGUGUGCAGAGGGUUGACCAAAUUGGAAGAAAAUGUUUUUGUCCUUUAGUUGGGUAUCAGAAAAGGGAAUUUUCCAAUCAGCCCCACCUCAGUGUUGCGGCAGAAUAAUUCUUGGCUCCUUAGAAACGCACGGGUAAGGUAGGGUAGAGCUGCUGUUGCUGAUAUUGCCACCACCCAGGGCUUCCUGCUGACUCUGGGCUGCUCCCCCGGGACCAGAGAUUUGCAUUGACGUCCCUGGCUGUCCAGAAGCCCUCAGGAGCCAGUCGUGAGCUGAGCCCAGUAUGGGAAGGACCUGCUUUCUGGAAGCUGCUGCUACCUGGUGCUUGGAAAGAGACCUUGGGAGAGUUUAGUUAGCUCUACGAGUAAGUGACAGUCUUUUUGAGACUCAUCCAUGGCUGAGGAUGGUGCUGUAUGCAGGAGACAACCAUCAUCCGGUGGGAUAGAAUAGCUGGUUUGCAUUUACUGGAAACGAAAAAUAAAGGAGAUGCCUGCCAGCCCUGGUUCUCUGUGGUAAGUAUUGGUCUGCAUUCUUCUACAUUCUUUUAUUUCUUCAGACAUCAGAAGUGGAUAGAUGUUUAUUGAACCCAGCCAGCUGCUGUGCCUUUGCCAUUCUUCUCCUGCACACCCCCGCCCUUAGUCCUUCUGAAGAGAGGACUAGAUUGAUUUUCUAGUGCAACUGGAGAGCUGCAGAGAGGUUGGAAGUCUGUGUUCAGUCCCCACACAGCCCCCUCACAUUCAGGAGAAGUCAAUUUUCCCUUAAAAUGGAGCCAUCAGCCCAUGUCCCUCGGUGCAGUGGGCUAAUGGGCUGAAUGGAAGGACCCUGUUUGCCCUCGCUGCCCCCAGCCUGUGGGUGAGGCUCUCAGUUGGCUGGCUGCGGGAGGACGGUCCUUGCCAGCACCUAGCAUGGUUCUCUGCCAAGUUCUAGCUCCAGAUCUCUAGGCUGGAAGGAACCUAGACUAUAUAUAGCCUUGUGCUAAGCAAUUCUUAUCGGACGUGUCUGCCCUCCCCUGCAGGAGAGGAGCACUUCUGUCAGAGAACCAGAACCCAGAGAGUGUGAGCCAUCUCCAUGGGGCCUUUUAUUCUGGAAAGGGGUGUGUGCGUGUGCAUGUGCGCGUGUGUGUGCGCGCGCGCGCGCGCGCAUAUGUCUGUGUGGUUCAGAGCUGCCAAGCCUUAUUUCCUUUCCCGUAUGUCAGAUGCUGGUGGAUUCAGAGGUCAUGCUGGAUGACAGCGCUGAUGUGGGGUGAGGCCAGGAAAGACGGAGGGUUGUCUGAUGGAUGCCGGGCUUGGAGGGGAGGCCAGGGCCACGGGCAGGCUGAAGGCACAGUUGCGCCCGCAUCGGAGGUCAGCCUCUGAUUUCUCCUCUUAGUUUCCUGUUUGCCUUGCUUUGCCCGAGGAUGCCUUUUGACCUCUUUCUUCCUUCUUUUGACCCAUUGCAUUCCCUGCCUUCCUUCCCCUCUUCCUCCUUUUUUGGAUUUUCUGUAGGGUAUAUGAGGGCACACUUCACUGUGGGCAUCCGGGAGCUGUGUCCGCUCUCGGCCCUCAUUCCCAUUUGUUUUUGGUUAGGCAAAGCAGGGUCAGCCAUCUCAGGAGGAAGCUGGGUGGUGAAUGCGGGUGUUGUGCUGGGUAGUAUUUAUAGGGCAGGGCUGGUUGGACGUCGUCUUCUUCCCUCUCCCAGGUGCUGUUGAGCCACCAACUUGUGUGGUUCUCUGACUGAAGUGCUGAUUGUGGUGACAUGAUCCCUGUCUUGUCAGUGAAUCAUCACAAGUCUGGAAACCAGAUGCAGCAAGGAAGAUAGGACUUAACCCUUCCCUACCUCCCAGCCUGAACUCAUGUCUGAGACCACACGCCAUCCUGGUAAAUGAGGAGGAAGGCGGAGAGGGAAGGGGACAGACAGAGGAAGAGAACAUGGACACCUGGCUCCUGGCCUCUCUCCAGGACAGCCUCCAAAGAAUUUAAUCUGCUGG